CUGGUUGAUCCUGCCAGUAGUCAUACGCUUGUCUCAAAGACUAAGCCAUGCAUGUCUAAGUAUAAAGGUUAUACAAUGAAACUGCGAAUGGCUCAUUAAAACAGUUAUAGUUUAUUUGGUAAUUUUCUACAUGGAUAACCGUGGUAAUUCUAGAGCUAAUACAUGCUGUUUAGCCUGACUUCUUGAAGGGCUGUAUUUAUUAGAUAACAGACCAAUAUUCCUUCGUGUCUAUUGUGGUGACUCAUAGUAACUGAUCGGAUCGCAUGGGCUUGCCCGCGACAAACCAUUCAAGUUUCUGCCCCAUCAGCUUUCGAUGGUAGUGUAUUGGACUACCAUGGCUUUUACGGGUAACGGAGGAUUAGGGUUCGAUUCCGGAGAGGGAGCCUGAGAAACGGCUACCACAUCUAAGGAAGGCAGCAGGCGCGUAAAUUACCCAAUCCUGACUCAGGGAGGUAGUGACAAGAAAUAACGGGCCGGGUUUUCAAUCCGGGACUGAAAUGAGAUGAAUUUACACCCCUUAUUGAGGAUCAAUUGGAGGGCAAGUCUGGUAGUCUGGUUGAUCCUGCCAGGAGGGCAAGUCUGGU
RNAcentral lists this ribosomal RNA (584 nucleotides) under uncultured eukaryote. RNAcentral's name for it is "SSU rRNA". It matches the Rfam family "Eukaryotic small subunit ribosomal RNA", at positions 4 to 580 of the family's 1831-position model. The record is from RNAcentral.